Molecule: ribosomal RNA, 2891 nt
Filed under: Pseudomonas sp. NBRC 111123
Lineage: Bacteria; Pseudomonadati; Pseudomonadota; Gammaproteobacteria; Pseudomonadales; Pseudomonadaceae
Description: bacterial LSU rRNA
Rfam family: Bacterial large subunit ribosomal RNA
Source: RNAcentral
UCAAGUGAAGAAGCGCAUACGGUGGAUGCCUUGGCAGUCAGAGGCGAUGAAAGACGUGGUAGCCUGCGAUAAGCUUUGGGGAGUCGGCAAACAGACUGUGAUCCAGAGAUCUCUGAAUGGGGGAACCCACUCAGCAUAAGCUGAGUAUCUUGUACUGAAUACAUAGGUGCAAGAGGCGAACCAGGGGAACUGAAACAUCUAAGUACCCUGAGGAAAAGAAAUCAACCGAGAUUCCCUUAGUAGUGGCGAGCGAACGGGGACCAGCCCUUAAGUUGGUUUGAGAUUAGUGGAACGCUCUGGAAAGUGCGGCCAUAGUGGGUGAUAGCCCCGUACACGAAAAUCUCUUAUCAAUGAAAUCGAGUAGGACGGAGCACGAGAAACUUUGUCUGAACAUGGGGGGACCAUCCUCCAAGGCUAAAUACUACUGACUGACCGAUAGUGAACCAGUACCGUGAGGGAAAGGCGAAAAGAACCCCGGAGAGGGGAGUGAAAUAGAACCUGAAACCGUAUGCGUACAAGCAGUGGGAGCCUACUUUGUUAGGUGACUGCGUACCUUUUGUAUAAUGGGUCAGCGACUUAUAUUCAGUGGCGAGCUUAACCGAAUAGGGGAGGCGUAGCGAAAGCGAGUCUUAAUAGGGCGUUUAGUCGCUGGGUAUAGACCCGAAACCGGGCGAUCUAUCCAUGGGCAGGUUGAAGGUUAGGUAACACUGACUGGAGGACCGAACCGACUACCGUUGAAAAGUUAGCGGAUGACCUGUGGAUCGGAGUGAAAGGCUAAUCAAGCUCGGAGAUAGCUGGUUCUCCUCGAAAGCUAUUUAGGUAGCGCCUCAUGUAUCACUGUAGGGGGUAGAGCACUGUUUCGGCUAGGGGGUCAUCCCGACUUACCAAACCGAUGCAAACUCCGAAUACCUACAAGUGCCGAGCAUGGGAGACACACGGCGGGUGCUAACGUCCGUCGUGAAAAGGGAAACAACCCAGACCGUCAGCUAAGGUCCCAAAGUCAUGGUUAAGUGGGAAACGAUGUGGGAAGGCUUAGACAGCUAGGAGGUUGGCUUAGAAGCAGCCACCCUUUAAAGAAAGCGUAAUAGCUCACUAGUCGAGUCGGCCUGCGCGGAAGAUGUAACGGGGCUCAAACCAUGCACCGAAGCUACGGGUAUCACCUUUAGGUGAUGCGGUAGAGGAGCGUUCUGUAAGCCUGUGAAGGUGAGUUGAGAAGCUUGCUGGAGGUAUCAGAAGUGCGAAUGCUGACAUGAGUAACGACAAUGCGAGUGAAAAACUCGCACGCCGAAAGACCAAGGUUUCCUGCGCAACGUUAAUCGACGCAGGGUUAGUCGGUCCCUAAGGCGAGGCUGAAAAGCGUAGUCGAUGGAAAACAGGUUAAUAUUCCUGUACUUCCAGUUAUUGCGAUGGAGGGACGGAGAAGGCUAGGCCAGCUUGGCGUUGGUUGUCCAAGUUUAAGGUGGUAGGCUGAGAUCUUAGGCAAAUCCGGGAUCUCAAGGCCGAGAGCUGAUGACGAGUGCUCUUUAGAGCGCGAAGUGGUUGAUGCCAUGCUUCCAAGAAAAGCUCCUAAGCUUCAGAUAACUGGGAACCGUACCCCAAACCGACACAGGUGGUUAGGUAGAGAAUACCAAGGCGCUUGAGAGAACUCGGGUGAAGGAACUAGGCAAAAUGGCACCGUAACUUCGGGAGAAGGUGCGCCGGCGAGGGUGAAGGACUUGCUCCGUAAGCCCAUGCCGGUCGAAGAUACCAGGCCGCUGCGACUGUUUAUUAAAAACACAGCACUCUGCAAACACGAAAGUGGACGUAUAGGGUGUGACGCCUGCCCGGUGCCGGAAGGUUAAUUGAUGGGGUUAGCGCAAGCGAAGCUCUUGAUCGAAGCCCCGGUAAACGGCGGCCGUAACUAUAACGGUCCUAAGGUAGCGAAAUUCCUUGUCGGGUAAGUUCCGACCUGCACGAAUGGCGUAACGAUGGCGGCGCUGUCUCCACCCGAGACUCAGUGAAAUUGAAAUCGCUGUGAAGAUGCAGUGUAUCCGCGGCUAGACGGAAAGACCCCGUGAACCUUUACUAUAGCUUUGCACUGGACUUUGAAUUUGCUUGUGUAGGAUAGGUGGGAGGCUUUGAAGUGGGGACGCCAGUUCUCAUGGAGCCAUCCUUGAAAUACCACCCUGGCAACUUUGAGGUUCUAACUCAGGUCCGUUAUCCGGAUCGAGGACAGUGUAUGGUGGGUAGUUUGACUGGGGCGGUCUCCUCCCAAAGAGUAACGGAGGAGUACGAAGGUGCGCUCAGACCGGUCGGAAAUCGGUCGUAGAGUAUAAAGGCAAAAGCGCGCUUGACUGCGAGACAAACACGUCGAGCAGGUACGAAAGUAGGUCUUAGUGAUCCGGUGGUUCUGUAUGGAAGGGCCAUCGCUCAACGGAUAAAAGGUACUCCGGGGAUAACAGGCUGAUACCGCCCAAGAGUUCAUAUCGACGGCGGUGUUUGGCACCUCGAUGUCGGCUCAUCACAUCCUGGGGCUGAAGCCGGUCCCAAGGGUAUGGCUGUUCGCCAUUUAAAGUGGUACGCGAGCUGGGUUUAGAACGUCGUGAGACAGUUCGGUCCCUAUCUGCCGUGGACGUUUGAGAUUUGAGAGGGGCUGCUCCUAGUACGAGAGGACCGGAGUGGACGAACCUCUGGUGUUCCGGUUGUCACGCCAGUGGCAUUGCCGGGUAGCUAUGUUCGGAAGAGAUAACCGCUGAAAGCAUCUAAGCGGGAAACUUGCCUCAAGAUGAGAUCUCACUGGAACCUUGAGUUCCCUAAAGGGCCGUCGAAGACUACGACGUUGAUAGGUUGGGUGUGUAAGCGCUGUGAGGCGUUGAGCUAACCAAUACUAAUUGCCCGUGAGGCUUGACCAU